This is a long non-coding RNA of Triticum aestivum (bread wheat), 3217 nucleotides long. RefSeq lists it as uncharacterized. The record is from RefSeq and is a predicted model, not a curated record. The transcript is spliced from 11 exons. Lineage: Eukaryota; Viridiplantae; Streptophyta; Magnoliopsida; Poales; Poaceae.
GCCAUCCUCAACCUAACCCACCUCCUUCCGCCGGCAGACGUCGUGGGCGAGCGAGCGAUGGCGUCAGCCGGAGCGAGGGAGCCCGCGGCGCCGUGACUGGCCGCCGACGGAGCCCAUCGAACUGAACCUCCCCGCGGCCCACCACUUCUUCCACCUUCCUUCUUCCGCAGCGAGUGGAUCGGCCGCACCGACCACCGGCCUCACCACCGCGCCGCCGCCCCAGCCACCGGCCCCCCACCGCGCCGCCGCCUCCCUCCCCGCGCGCAGCGCCGCCCGGCCUCAUCCUCCCUGCCCCCGCCUCCUCCCCUUCGCCAGCGCGCCUCCACCUCCCGGCCGCCGGCGCGGCUCCACCUCCUCGUCCCGGCCGGCCAGGUGAUGCGCGCGCAUCAGUUCGCGCGAGGCCCGGCCGCCAGGCACCCUUUCGCCAUCUGGCGCGACGCCAUGGGUAAAGCCAGAGAUGGAGCUAUUCCAGCACCGGCACCUGCGACGUCAGUCCACCGACGUGCUUGGCGCCGUCCACAACUCGAUCGCGCUCGAGCUUAUGCUCCAGAUCACCUUCUUCAAUGUUCCGGCCACGGUUCCCCACUGCCAACACGAGAUCCCAACCACUUCUUCUGUAAAAACUGAAGUUAUCUAGUUAGUAGUCCUCAUUUGCUUAAUUCUGCAGUUCUUUAGUUUACCAUUGCUUAAUUGCCAAGUGUACGGAUACAUUCUUGGUUUGUUUUAAGUCUGGUGAGUGAUUCCGUUCUUCGAGUUGUUGACCAUGUUGUAUCUGUUCCAGUCGGAUUAGCUCCUUCACCGGUUUCUGAAGAUGGGAAGUUCAGAGUUUGAGCAAGCGAAGGCACACUUGCACGUCGACUGUGCUCAGCCACCAGCAAUAACUUGGCAGAGGAAAUUCGAUGAUGAAGGCAAGAAGGUUGCUAUGCUUAGCAUGACCACUGAUAUCUUCACAGUUAUACCAUUGAUUUUUAAAAUGCUUCGAUUACACGUCGAAGGAAUCGCGAAAAACCAAGUUGCCGUCUAUGAUCCGCUCAGGAAAUGGAUGGACAACUGCUACCGCGGGGUACCCCUUGGCGGACUAGGUUCAGGAAGCAUAGGGAGAAGCUACCGAGGGUACUUUCAGCAGUUUCAAAUAUUCCCCAGGAUCUAUGAAGAGAAGCCUGUCCUUGCCAACCAGUUCUCAGCAUUCGUUUCGCAUCCUGGGGGGAAGAGCUACUCGACGGUGUUGAAACUGGUAUGCUGCUAUUUUUGUCAGGCUCGCCUUUUCGAUGCGCAAAAUGAUGAGGGAUAAAGCUCUGGUCAGGAGACUUUCUGCAUGCGAGACAAUGGGCAACAAGUUUUGAUUAUAUUGAUACCUAAUAAUAGCAUGUGCUCAUUUUUGAACUGAAACAAAAAGAGUCUCUCUAAUAAUAAAUGGGCUCUCUAAUAAUAAGUUCUAAGGAAAUAAAUAUAGAAGUUCAUAUUUCAAAACAAAUGAAGUAUUUUGGAAGUAAAAUAAACUAUUUCAAAGUACACAAAUUAUAUUUAGGUAUCUUUGUGUACUUCAACGUUACUGUACAUGAACUUGUACAUUUGCCUAUCCGUCAAACAGUUUGAGUUGCACUUUUUUUUUGCCAUAUUUGAUCUAUCAUAUUUCUCUAGUUCCAUCUCGUUCGUGAGUUCUUUUGACCGAGAGCUAGUAAGAUCAAACAUGAAUUUACAUCAGUUCAAAAAACAGAUUGUUGGGAAAUAAGAUUAAGACCAGAAACAAGAAAGAUGUACAAAAAGAAAAUUAAAAACCGUUUCAUUUGGACCUAUAUAAGAAAACAAUUUGCUGAUCACUACGAAAUUUAAAUAAAAACUUGGAAAAGUUUGAAAAAAAUCACAUAAAAAGUUCGAACUCCAAAACCUGGCAAGUUCAUGGUAAAAACAAAAAAAAGGCAGAAAAGGUACAAUUUAUUUUUCAGUGUACCUAUAAUGUCCAGUUUUUCUUUCAGUUCAAUUCCUAGAUUUCAUUCAGUUCAAUUCUUAUGUAGGUACUUGGCGGUGGCAUUGCUUCACUUCCCUUGUUAUGCUCUCUUCGCCCAAGUUCCGAGAAUCAAGAAAACAAAUACUAGUGCUUGCAUGAAAAUGUACGAGCAAAAAAAACCCACAAAGGCCUUUGCGUAGAAACAUCACCUCCACACCCCCUCCAUUCAUGCGCAGUACAUGCUUCUCCUGCCGCCGCGCCGCCUGGAUCCAACGAGGCUGCGUCACACUGGCCCCGGAUCCGCCCGCUUCCAAUGAGGCUGCGUCACCCGCCGGCGCACCUCUGCCUCGCCGUGGGCAGUGGAUGCUUCUCCGCAGCUCAACCUCCUGGUAGCGGGUAGUUCGAUGCUCCCUGUCGCGCUACGAUCAGCGCUCCCUCGAGCUCAACAAGAAAUUCUUUCCGGCUGCGUCUGCACCUCUUAAAAGUUCACACACUCGAAGGAGGGAUCAUUGUUUCUUAUUGGAGAAGGCCUGAUGUUUAGUUGGUGUCUGUGUGGUACCUACACCAGCAUUUUCCAUCAAGACCUCCAGAAAGAGAGAUCAUCUCAAGGUGGUUCAAAUGUGUCGAGCGGCAGCAUCGCUUGAUCCCUAGUGGUUGCCCGCGCAAGGAGGAUACAGGGAUGCUACAGUGGUGGAGGAGUCAGUACAUGUAGUAGCUAGCUCAAGAAAAGCCAGCGGCCUGCUCUGGCCAUGCCGCACCACCACUGGCACGUCCACCAUGGUUGCUGGCAGCCGUCCAAGUUGAGCGCUGAUGGGAGUCCUUAGCGUGCUUCAACGACACUCUCUCAUAUCAAUCUCUCUUUCUUUGCUCCUGCUAUUAAAAUGUGUAGAUGUGCUGCUUUGCUAAUUGAGUAGUUGGGAAGAUGUGAAAAGAACAUGCUCUCUAGGAGGUUCAAAGAUUGUCGUGGAGCAAGUUCAAGAGAUUAGUUUGGUGAAAAUAAUGUGAUCUUUUGGUCAGGAUUUUGCAUGAUCCAUAGCCAUCAGGCGAGCAGUUCAAGGCCUACUACGCGAGUCGUCUAUCGUCUUCUACGCAUGAUGAGCUUGUUGUCUCUACACAUCUAGCAUCAGAGUAUCUCCUCCCCUUGCCGCACACACAUGCCUGCGGUCGAGCUAGUGUUGUUUGUGAUUGCUGGUCGUGACUCUUACGUUGUCAUUGGACAAAUAAUUUGUUCUGUAACUCUGUACUGAUGGGACCUUCAGCAUAUAUGGU